CAGGCCUAACACAUGCAAGUCGAGCGGGCGUAGCAAUACGUCAGCGGCAGACGGGUGAGUAACGCGUGGGAACGUACCUUUUGGUUCGGAACAACACAGGGAAACUUGUGCUAAUACCGGAUAAGCCCUUACGGGGAAAGAUUUAUCGCCGAAAGAUCGGCCCGCGUCUGAUUAGCUGGUUGGUGAGGUAAUGGCUCACCAAGGCGACGAUCAGUAGCUGGUCUGAGAGGAUGAUCAGCCACAUUGGGACUGAGACACGGCCCAAACUCCUACGGGAGGCAGCAGUGGGGAAUAUUGGACAAUGGGCGCAAGCCUGAUCCAGCCAUGCCGCGUGAGUGAUGAAGGCCCUAGGGUUGUAAAGCUCUUUUGUGCGGGAAGAUAAUGACGGUACCGCAAGAAUAAGCCCCGGCUAACUUCGUGCCAGCAGCCGCGGUAAUACA
This 440-nucleotide ribosomal RNA is filed under the name uncultured Alphaproteobacteria bacterium. Its description in RNAcentral is "bacterial SSU rRNA". It matches the Rfam family "Bacterial small subunit ribosomal RNA", at positions 43 to 527 of the family's 1533-position model. The record is from RNAcentral. Lineage: Bacteria; Pseudomonadati; Pseudomonadota; Alphaproteobacteria.